This 75-nucleotide transfer RNA is filed under the name Patescibacteria group bacterium. Its description in RNAcentral is "tRNA-Val". The record is from RNAcentral. RNAcentral also lists the same sequence under 1 other name.
GGGCGUACCGGAGUAAAUUAGAGCGCCACGUUGACAUCGUGGAGGUCGCAAGUUCAAAUCUUGUGUCGCCCACCA